CAGGGGCUGAGGUACGGGACUCGGCUGCGGCCGCCGGGAGAUGGACGGGAGAGGUGGUGGACGCGGAGAGGGAACGGCUAACUCCUCUCUGCGCUGCGGGUAGUUGGUUUGGUCACCUCGCGUCAGUUUGCAUCCUACUGUGACAGGAGUAAAUGCUUUUCUGAAAAGAUUCUUAGCAGUAACGGAGGCUUUUGAUUAUGGGGACUGUCUGCCCUGCUAUCUGAAUGAAUUCCCAGGUUUGGCUGGGACCUUUAAGCAUUAUGAAACAAGAAUGAAAUGUCAGGCUCAGGCCUUCCUGAAUCACGGGUAAUUCUCUAAAUUAAAAGACAAGCAGAAAAGGGCCUCAACAUCAGUUCUAAUUUUCAGGUUAGAUGAUAACUUGUCUUCAGAAAAGAUCAAUUUUACUUUGUUUUACUUACUGGUUCUAAAAGCAUUAAUUAAUUCUUUUCACGUGGAAGAAAUGGCAAAUCUUUUGAAGUCUGAUGCAUCUGAAAAAAAAGAUUUUAUUUCUGUGCUUUGUGUAUACUAUUUAUUCAUUUUAAUUAUUAAGAAAAUUUGAAGCAGAUUGACUUGAAUUAUACGGCAAAAAUAGUCCCAUUGAAAUGAGAAAGAGUACUUUGGGAAUCUUGGGAUGGAUAAGGGUAUUGGUAUGGCCCAAAUAGUCUGUCUUCAACAAUUUUAUUUUUCUUUCUCAUCUUAAUGAAGGAAUUUUUGUGCAACUGAUUCUAAGGUAUGCCAGGUAGGUCUUGAAAAGGGUAGAAAUCUUUUAAGGAUACGGAGGUGAAAAAUGUAUACGCCUUCCUGUCUCUGCAAAUAUACUAGUUUCAUAUUUACUUAAUUAUUUUGAUGUUUCCAUUAAUGUCUAUGCUUUAGGUCUCCAGGUGCAUUACAGAAGUUUAAAAUCAGAAAUCACACAGUGUGUCCCAUCUCGGUAUACUGGAAAGAAUGAAAAAUUAUCUAGCCAAGCGUAACAUCUAGAGGGCAAUCUCAUACUCCAGCAGUGUGACUAUAAAUCUAGCAGUCAGAACAGUUCUGGCUGUGUAAAUUGCAUUGUUUUAAAGUAAAGGGGUUUAAGUAAGCUAUGAAACUAUUGUAUUGCUGCAUUUUUUACAGUUACCCUGUCUUCUUUAUCUUGGGUUAUGUAAUUUUUCAAUUUACAUAGACGCUGCUCAUUUAUUGAUAACAAGAACUUUGCAUUAGCAUAUCUUAUUCUCUCUUUACUGGCAGUUUUUGGUCUUCUGGGAAGAUAAUGUUUGCAAUAAGUAUUUCAUAAUAUUCUGCCACAUGCCUAUCUUCAA
Long non-coding RNA from Oxyura jamaicensis (ruddy duck), 1298 nucleotides. RefSeq lists it as uncharacterized. The record is from RefSeq and is a predicted model, not a curated record. NCBI's taxonomy places the organism in Eukaryota, Metazoa, Chordata, Aves, Anseriformes, Anatidae. The transcript has 3 exons.